Sinocyclocheilus grahami is the source of this 202-nucleotide long non-coding RNA. RefSeq lists it as uncharacterized. Lineage: Eukaryota; Metazoa; Chordata; Actinopteri; Cypriniformes; Cyprinidae. The record is from RefSeq and is a predicted model, not a curated record. The transcript has 3 exons.
CUCUCCCUGAUACUUCCUCUUCCGUUCCCAUUCCUAUCCAGUUUAAUUUAGAGUGGGGCUGGUGUCGUUGGCGUUACGGGAAGUCGUGGCAGAGUUCGCUUGCAGCAACAAGGGCAGGUGGGUGAAUGCUGGCUGGUAGACUGAGUUGCGGCACCGGUAGUGAGUAGCCAUACAGCUGUGUGUCUAGUGUAGGUUCAACAUA